GGUCCUUUGAAGCUGUUCUGAAAACCUUGAACUCUAUUCCUGUUACAUCAGAAUGCUUAGUUUUAAAUUUAUUGAUGCUCCGCAGGAACAAUGGCGCUCGGUGUAACGGAGCUGUUAUGUGAAGACACUAAGAUGCAAAAGAAAAUUCCAAAACAUGGGAGAAUAUUUGCUGGGAAAUUACCUGGCUAAAAUAUAUUCUUACCAGCAUCCUGAGGAUUGAUAAAUACUAAUGAAGCUAUCCGUGUCAGCUUCGUUUUGAAUGAGGGGUCACUAUCUGCCAGUUGAAAGGGGCCAGUUUGCUGCUGUUUUUGAGCUGUAACCAUUUCUGGCCAGUGUUACAAGAGUGACUUGCAUGUUGUGUGGAAAACUGGUAAUCAGGAAAAGCUCUUCAUUUUAUGGACAUGGAAAGAAAACAUAUGCAUCAAGAUAGAGUGUUUAUUUUUAAUUUUGCAAAUAGAUUCUGAACUACAUCAAAUCUAGAUUAAUAUAUUCGUAAGAUUUCAAGCCAUUUCUAUUUAGUCAUAUCACACUGCCCUACAGAGUCACAACCUGUUAACUAGUAGAUUAUAUCCUAGAUCUGUUUCUAGGAAUGCAUGUCAAACUAAGUAUUUGUAAUGGAAUUGUUUUGGCAGUUAAGUAGCCUUGUAAUCAAAUAAUUGUGGAUAAAUGUCCUAAUUUUGAUCAUAUGUUUAAAGUUAAAAUACAUAAAUAAAGUGGAGUGAACGUUUAUACUGUUUAAUGGAGAUGGGAGCAAUGUGAAAAGACGGGGCCUAUUAUGGGGUAGGGAGUACCAGGGCAUCAAAGUGAUUGCUCUGAUUAACUGACUCAUAAAAUAUUUAGUCUUAUGUAAUUGUAAUGUGAAAGGAUGUUUAAGCUAAAAAAUGGAAAGUGAUGAAAAUGAAGAGUACUACAUAGCAGUUAAGGGUCACAAAGAAGGUCACUGAAAAAAAUCUGGGUUAGAACUAGUCAGAUAUUACAUGGAAUGGAUUUUUGUAAACAGUAGUAGCAUCUGAUCUAACCAAGGUGAUUAGGUGAUUCAUGAUCGUUUUUCCUAAAUAGCUGCAUGAAUAAGUUGUUCCCAAGCCCAUACCUAAUGUCAUAGUCAAAGCAUGAAAUUUCUUUCCUCGAUGAGCUGUCAUCUUUUUCCUAAAAUGUUUGUUUUCUUGGCUUAGUGAAAGGAAUUUCAUUUUGGACUCAUGCCGCUCAGGAGAGGCUCUCAAGGCUUACAAGACUAUGGCUGAAUGGCCAGACACACAGUGAAUUUGCCCCAAGUAGUAAGACUGUGUGUACAAUGGAUGUCUGAAAAUGUUUCUUGAACCCAUAUUAAAAUAAAAAAUACUGAUAUCCUAAACAUUAAAGGUUUAGUGGGGUAGUUGUACAAUAUUAAACGAGGUACAAGAAAUCCCACAGAGGCUAUGGUUGUGGGAAAUUAAGGGGGCUUGAGGCUUGUUUCGGUGAGAACAAUCGAUUGGUGUAAUGUGUUACACAUACUGUAUCUUGGUAUUACCAAAAGAAAUGAGGAAAACUGGCACCAUAGAGGUAAAAUGCACCUUCAGGUAAAUGAUUCAAUGAGAUAAUGUAUAUAAAAUGAAGCAAUUGACAAUCAUGGCUAUUACAGCUCCUAUAUUUCCUCUCGAUGCUAUAAGAUCAACAAACAAGUAACAUUGUGUUGGUAACCUUAUUAGUUUCUUCUGUUACACAUAUAGAUAUCAGUAAACUGACAUUGCA
This is a long non-coding RNA of Phyllostomus discolor (pale spear-nosed bat), 1728 nucleotides long. RefSeq lists it as uncharacterized. The record is from RefSeq and is a predicted model, not a curated record. NCBI's taxonomy places the organism in Eukaryota, Metazoa, Chordata, Mammalia, Chiroptera, Phyllostomidae. The transcript has 6 exons.